UACGUAGGCAGCGAGCGUUGUUCGGAGUUACUGGGCGUAAAGGGUGUGUAGGCGGUUGUUUAAGUUUGGUGUGAAAUCUCCCGGCUCAACUGGGAGGGUGCGCCGAAUACUGAAUGACUAGAGUGCGGGAGAGGAAAGUGGAAUUCCUGGUGUAGCGGUGAAAUGCGUAGAUAUCAGGAGGAACACCGGUGGUGUAGACGGCUUUCUGGACCGUAACUGACGCUGAGACACGAAAGCGUGGGUAGCGAACAGG
Molecule: ribosomal RNA, 253 nt
Filed under: uncultured bacterium
Lineage: Bacteria
Description: partial 16S ribosomal RNA
Rfam family: Bacterial small subunit ribosomal RNA
Source: RNAcentral